UCUAAACCCUUGACAACUAACAAGGGUUUUUUUUUAUCAAACCCCAAUUAGAGUAAGUGGUAUUUUAAUUUCAACUUAUUCUUUCUCCCACUUAAUAUGUUUCUGCUUAUUUGUUCAGUUUCCCUCUUUCAUCUUUUUUGGCGUUUCGUAUUUCUUCCUUUGUCUCUUUCAUCUUCAACCUCCUUCGCUCUUUGCCAUUCAUGUUGGAGUCUCUUGUCAAGCGCUCAUCGGCGAGGCUAAGAUAAUGCUAGUAGGGUUCACAUUGUUUAUGCUCUGCGAAUCUAUGAUGCCACGCGUUCUAGGGAUUUCACCGAGUUUAUGUUGAUGCCAUGCUUUCUCUGUUAUGGAGCGUUCUAUUCUCUAUUUUGUCUCGCGAUGUAAGAAUUUUCCUGUGGUCUGGAAGGUACAUGCUCGGUGUUGCUCAAGGAUUGUAUUAUCUACACAACGGAUUAGAUAUUUAGGUGAUCAGCCAAGAUUUCAAAUCUUGAAAGGUGUUACUGGACAAGCAAUUUCAUCCCAAAUUUUCAGAUUUUGGUCUUGUAAGGGAGGGUGCAAUAAGUGAUAAAACUCAUGUAUCUUCUACGGGAGUGUAUUGAGUGGUGGUGGUAGCGAGCCCCUUCCAAAGGCUACUGCCAAAGAUUGGGUUAAUAUGAUAAAUGAAUUUCAUAAAGGAGCUUUGGAGAGUAGAUUGGGUAUACCAAUGAUCUAUGGUAUUGAUGCUGUUCAUGGACACAAUAAUGUCUACAAUGCAACCAUAUUUCCCUAUAAUGUUGGUCUUGGAUGUAC
Vigna unguiculata (cowpea) is the source of this 786-nucleotide long non-coding RNA. The record is from RefSeq and is a predicted model, not a curated record. NCBI's taxonomy places the organism in Eukaryota, Viridiplantae, Streptophyta, Magnoliopsida, Fabales, Fabaceae.